Molecule: ribosomal RNA, 555 nt
Filed under: uncultured Bacteroidota bacterium
Lineage: Bacteria; Pseudomonadati; Bacteroidota
Description: bacterial SSU rRNA
Rfam family: Bacterial small subunit ribosomal RNA
Source: RNAcentral
AUUGGUCAAUGGACGGAAGUCUGAACCAGCCAAGUAGCGUGCAGGAUGACGGCCCUCCGGGUUGUAAACUGCUUUUAGUUGGGAAUAACGACGGGGACGUGUCCCCGGAAAGAAUGUACCAUCAGAAAAAGGACCGGCUAAUUCCGUGCCAGCAGCCGCGGUAAUACGGAAGGUCCGGGCGUUAUCCGGAUUUAUUGGGUUUAAAGGGAGCGUAGGCGGACUGUUAAGUCAGCGGUUAAAGAGUGUGGCUCAACCAUACGAUGCCGUUGAAACUGGUAGUCUUGAGUGCACAUAGGGAUGCUGGAACUCGUGGUGUAGCGGUGAAAUGCUUAGAUAUCACGAUGAACUCCGAUCGCGAAGGCAGGUGUCCGGGGUGUAACUGACGCUGAGGCUCGAAAGUGUGGGUAUCAAACAGGAUUAGAUACCCUGGUAGUCCACACAGUAAACGAUGAAUACUCGCAGUUUGCGAUACACUGUAAGCUGCCAAGCGAAAGCAUUAAGUAUUCCACCUGGGGAGUACGCCGGCAACGGUGAAACUCAAAGGAAUUGACGGAA